Molecule: ribosomal RNA, 611 nt
Filed under: Escherichia coli
Lineage: Bacteria; Pseudomonadati; Pseudomonadota; Gammaproteobacteria; Enterobacterales; Enterobacteriaceae
Description: bacterial SSU rRNA
Rfam family: Bacterial small subunit ribosomal RNA
Source: RNAcentral
AUGCAAGUCGAACGGUAACAGAAAGCAGCUUGCUGCUUUGCUGACGAGUGGCGGACGGGUGAGUAAUGUCUGGGAAACUGCCUGAUGGAGGGGGAUAACUACUGGAAACGGUAGCUAAUACCGCAUAACGUCGCAAGACCAAAGAGGGGGACCUUCGGGCCUCUUGCCAUCGGAUGUGCCCAGAUGGGAUUAGCUAGUAGGUGGGGUAAAGGCUCACCUAGGCGACGAUCCCUAGCUGGUCUGAGAGGAUGACCAGCCACACUGGAACUGAGACACGGUCCAGACUCCUACGGGAGGCAGCAGUGGGGAAUAUUGCACAAUGGGCGCAAGCCUGAUGCAGCCAUGCCGCGUGUAUGAAGAAGGCCUUCGGGUUGUAAAGUACUUUCAGCGGGGAGGAAGGGAGUAAAGUUAAUACCUUUGCUCAUUGACGUUACCCGCAGAAGAAGCACCGGCUAACUCCGUGCCAGCAGCCGCGGUAAUACGGAGGGUGCAAGCGUUAAUCGGAAUUACUGGGCGUAAAGCGCACGCAGGCGGUUUGUUAAGUCAGAUGUGAAAUCCCCGGGCUCAACCUGGGAACUGCAUCUGAUACUGGCAAGCUUGAGUCUCGUAGA